CGGGAGGCAGCAGUGGGGAAUAUUGGGCAAUGGAGGAAACUCUGACCCAGCGACGCCGCGUGCGGGAUGAAGGCCUUCGGGUUGUAAACCGCUUUCAGCAGGGAAGAAGCGAAAGUGACGGUACCUGCAGAANAAGCACCGGCUAACUAUGUG
RNAcentral lists this ribosomal RNA (153 nucleotides) under uncultured bacterium. RNAcentral describes it as "partial 16S rRNA". It matches the Rfam family "Bacterial small subunit ribosomal RNA", at positions 342 to 507 of the family's 1533-position model. The record is from RNAcentral.